UCCACGCCGUAAACGAUGGAUACUAGCUGUUCGACCGCAAGGUUGAGUGGCUAAGCGAAAGUGAUAAGUAUCCCACCUGGGGAGUACGUUCGCAAGAAUGAAACUCAAAGGAAUUGACGGGGGCCCGCACAAGCGGUGGAGCAUGUGGUUUAAUUCGAUGAUACGCGAGGAACCUUACCAGGGCUUAAAUGUAGAUUGCAUAGAGUAGAGAUAUUCUUUUCUUCGGACUAUUUACAAGGUGCUGCAUGGUUGUCGUCAGCUCGUGCCGUGAGGUGUCAGGUUAAGUCCUAUAACGAGCGCAACCCCUGUUGUUAGUUGCCAGCGAGUCAUGUCGGGAACUCUAACAAGACUGCCAGUGCAAACUGUGAGG
Molecule: ribosomal RNA, 370 nt
Filed under: uncultured bacterium
Lineage: Bacteria
Description: bacterial SSU rRNA
Rfam family: Bacterial small subunit ribosomal RNA
Source: RNAcentral